UCCAGAACUAUGUGAGACAUAGAACUAUAAUUUAUUGAAAAACUUAAGAGAUGUGCAUCCCUCAUCAAAACCAAGAUUUUAUUCUCUUGUCAGCUAGAAGGGACAAUAAAGAGGGUCUAGGAGGAAUCACAAAGUAUUUAGCACCUAAUAACUGCCAAAAUUUCCACUAAUUACUCUAGCACUUAACCCUCAGCAAGAACACUCACCAGUGUAGGUGAGUAUGGUGUGGGCUUUGAAGGUCAAUAGACCUAGAUUUAAAUUUAGAUAUUUCUUAGACACUGAUUGACUCAACAUAAAAAUAGUAACAAUAAAGUAUUAGAACUAUUAACAUAUUGAACGGUUAUGUUCUAGGAAUGAAACUAAAAACACUUAUACUAUUGCAUCUACUUCCAUAGACAUUAUAUGAUGCAGCUAUUUUCAAUACCUGCAUUUAUCUAUGAAGAAAUUGUGGCACAAGGAGGUUUAAAAAGAUGCCCAGUCUUAUAUGAUGAAUCUGGGAUUUGAACUCAGGCACAUCUUCCUGGUCACUCAAUCCCCUAACUUUUACGUUUGGUUGCUGACUUUUCCAAGUUAAUUAAACUCCUUAAAUUAUCUUCUAUUCUAUUUUCUCUUAUAGAAACCAGCAAAGAGUACAUAGAACAAACAUUUUUUUUAGAAGGAUUAAAUGGGACAAUUAAACAAUUUGAUCAGCAUAAUGUCCAGCUCAAGGGAUCUUGGAGGUGGUGAGGCAGCCCAAGUGGAAAGGCAGCAGAAGGGGUAUCCUUGUUUUACCAAUUACUCAUAUGUAGGAGAUGGUGCAUUAAAUGAAAUAUUCUCUGCUCUCUCCUAACAUCUACCCCCUCACACCAAGAGGAAGGCAUGUCGCCUGAACCUUUGCAGUAUUCAAUUAAAGUUCUAUUCACACGGUAUUGCAGUUGUUUGCUUAUCUUUCUUUCUUAUUAGACUUAAAACUUCUGGAAACUAGAGGCUAUAUUACUUAUUUGCCUCAGAGUCCUGUUGGCCUAUCAAAUGGCACACCUUCAAUCCAAGAAUGAAUUAAUUAAAUAAAUGUGAAGAAAAAAAAAAUCCAAGUUGCUUAUUUUUGUUAAAUUUAUUUUUCCCCAAAAUAUUUACUGAGAAAAUGACUCUGGGAAGAUAGCAGAGUGGAAAGCCCCAGAAAUGUGUUUCCCCACCUAGACAACAACUGUACUGGCAGAAUCUGUUUGAUGUGACUAUUCUGAAGUUCUGAAUUGAAUAAAUAUGAAGAAAAUACAAAGUGCAAGUCUUGUUACUUCCAAGGGAUGGCUUGCAUAGUAAGUUGUUUAUUUUGGUGAGUUUCAGCUUUUGAUUGAUUGGGUAGUGGCUACUCAUCCCCAAUCCUAGCCAUGGUAGGAAGCUGUGUGCCUCUUCCUGGAGCAGCUUGUACAUGGUUUGUGGGAGCCAGGGUGAACAAUAAGGAUCCUAACCUCCAAACAUCAGGUG
Molecule: long non-coding RNA, 1461 nt
Filed under: Homo sapiens (human)
Lineage: Eukaryota; Metazoa; Chordata; Mammalia; Primates; Hominidae
Description: non-protein coding lnc-CTNNA2-3:2
Source: RNAcentral